This 257-nucleotide ribosomal RNA is filed under the name uncultured bacterium. RNAcentral describes it as "partial 16S ribosomal RNA". It matches the Rfam family "Bacterial small subunit ribosomal RNA", at positions 524 to 776 of the family's 1533-position model. The record is from RNAcentral.
UACGUAGGGUGCAAGCGUUAUCCGGAAUUAUUGGGCGUAAAGAGCUCGUAGGCGGUUUGUCGCGUCUGCUGUGAAAACUGGAGGCUCAACCUCCAGCUUGCAGUGGGUACGGGCAGACUAGAGUGCGGUAGAGGGAGAGUGGAAUUCCCGGUGUAGCAGUGAAAUGCGGUAGAGAUCGGGAGGAACAUCAGUUGCGAAGGCGGGCCUCUCUGGACCAGCACUGACACUGAGGCGCGAAAGCGUGGGGAGCAAACAGG